CAUCGUGAGGUGGAAUCUGAAGGAAGUCGGAUGGCAAACCUCUGGUCUGACGGACAGAAAUCACAUACAAGGCAUGGUAUAUCGGGUAAGGUUGCCAAACAAACUGAAGCCCAAUAACUAUCCGAAGGUAUACUGUGUAAAUGUGGCAGAUAGGUGGAGGGAAAGAUUA
RNAcentral lists this non-coding RNA (169 nucleotides) under human gut metagenome. The record is from RNAcentral.